Molecule: long non-coding RNA, 915 nt
Organism: Xenopus tropicalis (tropical clawed frog)
Lineage: Eukaryota; Metazoa; Chordata; Amphibia; Anura; Pipidae
Exons: 3
Source: RefSeq, a predicted model, not a curated record
CCAGUAAACAACAUCAGUGGGACUUGCAUGAUCAAGGACAUCACCUACACAGAUCCAACUUGGAAGGACAAAUAAUUCAUCUUUGUCCCACCAGCAAGGUAGAGGUUUGAGAUUGAUUCCCAUCAAUGGUCAUCCAAAAGCUGUGCAGCCAUUCCACCAUACUAUCCGCUAACACCUGGCUUACUCCUCCACUUCUCCAUCCUUUGAUAUGAGUAAGGUUCUCAAUACCAACUGACCUAAUAAGUGCAGGUUUGUAGCACUGUGGGAUAGGUAAGUAUCACCACCAGAGAAAGUACUUAUAUGCCUUUGACAUACUUUCUUAAUUAAGAUUUAUAUAUUGUUAGUAGCCACAGAGCUAAAUUCCAUCAUAAAUCUGAUGCCACAAAUAUACUUCCACCACAAUGGCACAGAUGCAGGAAAAGUACAAUGUCUACAAGAUCCUAUGCCCAGACAUAUAUCAUCUGGAAUAUUGUCAUCUAAGUACUUACUGGUGGUUAUUUGUUGUUUUUGUUCUAAGUUUGAAAAAAAAAAAAAAACAAACAAAAAAAACUUUCCCUCCUUCCCGUGUUAAUGCUAACCAGUUACUGUUUUACCUUUCUUUCCCUUUCCUCUCUUUUCCUUCCCCAGUUUUUUAUAGCCUGUGCUGUCAACAGAGAGGAGGGUUGGGGGUGGGCCUAGCUGGUGGCCUGUGACUAGUUUAUCUUCAAUCUUUAGACAGUCACAAGCCACCACGGUACCCUCUGUUGUCACCUCAAUCUACACCAACACUAUUAGAAUAACCUUAUUAAUAACAGCUUAAGGAUGAUAAAAUAGUUUUUUAUAAAAGCAAAAAAAGCCCCUGAUAAUAAUAGGUUUAUUAUAAUAAGCUUAUUAACUUUAAAAACCAGGUUUGUGCUGUUAUCAGAGGGGAGGGUU